CUGGAAGCGGUCGCUAAUACCGCAUCGCGUCGCAAGACCAAAGAGGGGGACCUUCGGGCCUCUUGCCAUCAGAUGUGCCCAGAUGGGAUUAGCUAGUAGGUGGGGUAACGGCUCACCUAGGCGACGAUCCCUAUCUGGUCUGAGAGGAUGACCACCCACACUGGAACUGAGACACGGUCCAGACUCCUACGGGAGGCAGCAGUGGGGAAUAUUGCACAGUGGGCGCAAGCCUGAUGCACCCAUGCCGCGUGUAUGAAGAAGGCCUUCGGGUUGUAAAGUACUUUCAGCGAGGAGGAAGGCAUUGUGGUUAAUAACCACAGUGAUUGACGUUACUCGCAGAAGAAGCACCGGCUAACUCCGUGCCAGCAGCCGCGGUAAUACGGAGGGUGCAAGCGUUAAUCGGAAUUACUGGGCGUAAAGCGCACGCAGGCGGUCUGUCAAGUCAGAUGUGAAAUCCCCGGGCUCAACCUGGGAACUGCAUUCGAAACUGGCAGGCUAGAGUCUUGUAGAGGGGGGUAGAAUUCCAGGUGUAGCGGUGAAAUGCGUAGAGAUCUGGAAGAAUACCGGUGGCGAACGCGGCCCCCUGGACAAAGACUGACGCUCAUGUGCGAAAGCGUGGGGAGCAAACAGGAUUAUAUACCCUGGUAGUCCACGCCGUAAACUAUGUCGACUUGGAGGUUGUUCCCUUGAGGAGUGGCUUCCAGAGCUAACGCGUUAAGUCGACCGCCUGGGGAGUACGGCCGCAGGGUUAAAACUCAAAUGAAUUGACGGGGGCCCGCACAAGCGGUGGAGCAUGUGGUUUUAUUCGAUGCAACGCGAAGAACCUUAC
Molecule: ribosomal RNA, 829 nt
Filed under: Enterobacter sp. MX-MONARCH12
Lineage: Bacteria; Pseudomonadati; Pseudomonadota; Gammaproteobacteria; Enterobacterales; Enterobacteriaceae
Description: bacterial SSU rRNA
Rfam family: Bacterial small subunit ribosomal RNA
Source: RNAcentral